Molecule: unclassified non-coding RNA, 557 nt
Filed under: Hevea brasiliensis (rubber tree)
Lineage: Eukaryota; Viridiplantae; Streptophyta; Magnoliopsida; Malpighiales; Euphorbiaceae
Source: RNAcentral
AAUGAUUUAGAAAUUGAUCUAUUCUGGAAAUUUAGCAUUUGGAUCUAAAUGUAAGUCAAGAGACAUGAAAUUGAGACAGCUUUGUAGUAUUGCAUGUUUUUGCUUUAUCAGCUUCAAGACAUUAAUUUAAGAUACUCAAAUUGAAAGCCUUUAUUGUUUUUUAUCUGCAAUUCUGCAUGAUAUAUGCUUCUGUUAUUUAGUGCAAAUUGUAGUGUAAAAGGGAUUUUCUGAAAUAGGUAAAAGGUCUAUUAUCUUAGUGCCUCGUACCUUCAAAACAUAAUUUUCAUAAAUAAGAUGCGGAAACCCACUUGUUCUAAUAUGAAAAUGUGUGGUUUUUUUUAUCUUGCUAGGGUAUAUGUAGGUACUCUCAUGUUUUUUAAUGAUAGAAAAUAGGUUCAAAAUAUGUUAUGCAUAUUUCAUCGAUGGACCAGAUUACUGAACAAGAAAGACAAAGUAAUCAAUGCCUAAUUUGAAAGUCUACGUGAAUGUUUGGGAGGAGAGUUCUUAAUGCCUAAUGGGCAUAAAUGAAUAAUUAAGGCACAACUGAAAUUUGUCUG